Molecule: small nucleolar RNA, 84 nt
Organism: Eutrema salsugineum
Lineage: Eukaryota; Viridiplantae; Streptophyta; Magnoliopsida; Brassicales; Brassicaceae
Rfam family: Small nucleolar RNA Z43
About the family: Z43 is a member of the C/D class of snoRNA which contain the C (UGAUGA) and D (CUGA) box motifs. Most of the members of the box C/D family function in directing site-specific 2'-O-methylation of substrate RNAs.
Source: Rfam
GAACAGUGACAAUUGAUAUUAAAUAUACCAUAAAAAGCUUAUUUGCCAACCAUUCUGUUAUAUCACCACUCAUAUUCCGGGAUA